GUGAGGAAUAUUGCGCAAUGGGGGAAACCCUGACGCAGCGAUGCCGCGUGGGUGAAGAAGGCCUUCGGGUCGUAAAGCCCUGUCAAGCGGGAAGAAUAGUCGUAGGGCUAAUAUCCUUACGGCAUGACGGUACCGCUGAAGGAAGCACCGGCUAACUCCGUGCCAGCAGCCGCGGUAAGACGGAGGGUGCGAGCGUUAUUCGGAAUUAUUGGGCGUAAAGGGUGUGUAGGCGGCCGGUCAAGUCAGAUGUGAAAGCCCAGGGCUUAACCCUGGAAGUGCAUUUGAAACUGGUUGGCUUGAGUUCGGGAGAGGAAAGCGGAAUUCCGGGUGUAGAGGUGAAAUUCGUAGAUAUCCGGAGGAACACCGGUGGCGAAGGCGGCUUUCUGGACCGAAACUGACGCUGAGACACGAAAGCGUGGGGAGCAAACAGGAUUAGAUACCCUAGUAGUCC
Molecule: ribosomal RNA, 451 nt
Filed under: uncultured bacterium
Lineage: Bacteria
Description: bacterial SSU rRNA
Rfam family: Bacterial small subunit ribosomal RNA
Source: RNAcentral